RNAcentral lists this ribosomal RNA (438 nucleotides) under uncultured bacterium. Its description in RNAcentral is "bacterial SSU rRNA". It matches the Rfam family "Bacterial small subunit ribosomal RNA", at positions 28 to 465 of the family's 1533-position model. The record is from RNAcentral.
GAUGAACGCUAGCGGCAGGCCUAACACAUGCAAGUCGAGGGGUAUAGGGAGCUUGCUUCCUAGAGACCGGCGCACGGGUGCGUAACGCGUAUGCAAUCUACCUUGUACAGGGGAAUAGCCCAGAGAAAUUUGGAUUAAUGCCCCAUAGUAUUAUUAAAUGGCAUCCUUUAAUAAUUAAAGUUCCAACGGUACAAGAUGAGCAUGCGUCCUAUUAGUUAGUUGGUGUGGUAACGGCAUACCAAGACGAUGAUAGGUAGGGGUCCUGAGAGGGAGAUCCCCCACACUGGUACUGAGACACGGACCAGACUCCUACGGGAGGCAGCAGUGAGGAAUAUUGGACAAUGGGCGCAAGCCUGAUCCAGCCAUGCCGCGUGCAGGAAGACGGUCCUAUGGAUUGUAAACUGCUUUUAUACAGGAAGAAACACUGGUUCGUGAACC